This 465-nucleotide ribosomal RNA is filed under the name uncultured bacterium. RNAcentral's name for it is "partial 16S ribosomal RNA". It matches the Rfam family "Bacterial small subunit ribosomal RNA", at positions 28 to 507 of the family's 1533-position model. The record is from RNAcentral.
GACGAACGCUGGCGGCGUGCUUAACACAUGCAAGUCGAACGGAAAGGCCCUGCUUGCAGGGUACUCGAGUGGCGAACGGGUGAGUAACACGUGGGUGAUCUGCCCUGCACUUCGGGAUAAGCCUGGGAAACUGGGUCUAAUACCGGAUAUGACCUUCCAUGUAGUGUGGGGGGUGGAAAGAUUUAUCGGUGUGGGAUGAGCCCGCGGCCUAUCAGCUUGUUGGUGGGGUAAUGGCCUACCAAGGCGUCGACGGGUAGCCGGCCUGAGAGGGUGGACGGCCACAUUGGGACUGAGAUACGGCCCAGUCUCCUACGGGAGGCAGCAGUGGGGAAUAUUGCACAAUGGGCGGAAGCCUUAUGCAGCGACGCCGCGUGGGGGAUGACGGCCUUCGGGUUGUAAACCUCUUUCGACAGGGACGAAGCUUCGGUGACGGUACCUGUAUAAGAAGCACCGGCUAACUACGUG